This 1936-nucleotide ribosomal RNA is filed under the name Stenotrophomonas maltophilia. Its description in RNAcentral is "partial 23S ribosomal RNA". It matches the Rfam family "Bacterial large subunit ribosomal RNA", at positions 1 to 1977 of the family's 2925-position model. Lineage: Bacteria; Pseudomonadati; Pseudomonadota; Gammaproteobacteria; Lysobacterales; Lysobacteraceae. The record is from RNAcentral.
GUUAUAUGGUCAAGCGAAUAAGCGCACACGGUGGAUGCCUUGGCGGUCAGAGGCGAUGAAGGACGUGGCAGCCUGCGAAAAGUAUCGGGGAGCUGGCAACAAGCUUUGAUCCGGUAAUGUCCGAAUGGGGAAACCCACCCGCUUGCGGGUAUCCUGCAGUGAAUACAUAGCUGCUGGAAGCGAACCUGGUGAACUGAAAUAUCUAAGUAACCAGAGGAAAAGAAAUCAACCGAGAUUCCGUAAGUAGCGACGAGCGAACGCGGACUAGCCCUUAAGCUGGAUUGGUUCUAGGAAAACGCUCUGGAAAGAGCGGCCAUAGAAGGUGAUAGCCCUGUAUCUGAAAGGGCCAUUCCAGUGAAGACGAGUAGGGCGGGGCACGUGAAACCCUGUCUGAACAUGGGGGGACCAUCCUCCAAGGCUAAAUACUACUGACCGACCGAUAGUGAACCAGUACCGUGAGGGAAAGGCGAAAAGAACCCCGGAGAGGGGAGUGAAAUAGAACCUGAAACCGUGUGCGUACAAGCAGUAGGAGCUCCGCAAGGAGUGACUGCGUACCUUUUGUAUAAUGGGUCAGCGACUUACUGUUCGUGGCAAGCUUAACCGUAUAGGGGAGGCGAAGGGAAACCGAGUCUGAUAAGGGCGCAUAGUCGCGGGCAGUAGACCCGAAACCGGGUGAUCUAGUCAUGCCCAGGGUGAAGGUGCGGUAACACGCACUGGAGGCCCGAACCCACUCCCGUUGCAAAGGUAGGGGAUGAGGUGUGAUUAGGAGUGAAAAGCUAAUCGAACCCGGAGAUAGCUGGUUCUCCUCGAAAGCUAUUUAGGUAGCGCCUCAUAUGUAUCCUCUCGGGGGUAGAGCACUGUUAUGGCUAGGGGGUCAUCGCGACUUACCAAACCAUUGCAAACUCCGAAUACCGAGACGGACUGUAUGGGAGACACACGGCGGGUGCUAACGUCCGUCGUGAAAAGGGAAACAACCCAGACCCACAGCUAAGGUCCCAAAUUCACUGCUAAGUGGAAAACCAUGUGGAAAGGCACAGACAGCCAGGAGGUUGGCUUAGAAGCAGCCACCCUUUAAAGAAAGCGUAAUAGCUCACUGGUCGAGUCGGUCUGCGGGGAAGAUUUAACGGGGCUAAGCAGUGAACCGAAGCUUGGGGUGCAUAACUUUGUUAUGCGCGGUAGAGGAGCGUUCCGUAAGCCGUUGAAGGUGGAUUGAGAAGUCUGCUGGAGGUAUCGGAAGUGCGAAUGCUGACAUGAGUAACGAUAAUGCGGGUGAAAAACCCGCACGCCGAAAGCCCAAGGUUUCCUUGCGCAACGUUAAUCGGCGCAGGGUGAGUCGGCCCCUAAGGCGAGGACGAAAGUCGUAGUCGAUGGGAAGCAGGUUAAUAUUCCUGCACCUCGCGUAAGUGCGAUGGAGGGACGGAGAAGGUUAGGUGUACCAGGCGUUGGUUGUCCUGGGGAAAGGCGGUAGGUUUGGAUCUUUGGCAAAUCCGGGAUCCUUUAAGACCGAGCACCGAGACGAGCCUUUAUGGCGAAGUCACUGAUACCACGCUUCCAGGAAAAGCUCCUAAGCUUCAGCUUACGCAGACCGUACCGUAAACCGACACAGGUGGGUAGGAUGAGAAUUCUCAGGCGCUUGAGAGAACUCGGGUGAAGGAACUAGGCAACAUGGCACCGUAACUUCGGGAGAAGGUGCACCCUUUUUGGUGGCUCGUGCGAGCUAUAGCUGAAGAGGGUCGCAGUAACCAGGCCGCUGCGACUGUUUAUCAAAAACACAGCACUCUGCAAACACGAAAGUGGACGUAUAGGGUGUGACGCCUGCCCGGUGCUGGAAGGUUAAUUGAUGGGGUCAGCCGCAAGGCGAAGCUCUUGAUCGAAGCCCCAGUAAACGGCGGCCGUAACUAUAACGGUCCUAAGGUAGCGAAAUUCCUUGUCGGGU